AUGGCGUUUUGGCAAACCCAGAUCUUUCUAAAAAUCGGAGUCGCCAGUAACAUAUGUAUAUACUUUGCUUCGUCCUUUCAAUUGUGCAUUUUGAUCAUGGUAAGUGAAAAGUUUGUCUUCGAUGAUUUUUCAGCCGGUGACGGAGAAUUUUCAGUUUCUGUGAUUGAUAACGACCAUUCUCGAGCAGCAGGACUCAUAGGUCUGUACGGGAUCUUAAGUAUUGAAGCCACCGAAAUCACGAUCAGAGAUCCUCAUACAGAUACCGUGAAAGUACGGUGGCCAUGGAGCACCUUCUACAACAGUUUCAUUCCUUCGCCAGUCAACUCAGAGGAUGUCAAUAGGAUAUGUGUACUCCAAACCGGAAGCUCCUUUAACUCGGGAAUAGGGAAUCUGAAGCUGUUUUGCCCGAACGCAAGCGAGCUUCACGAGAGUCUCUCAUCUUGCCAAAGGAACCGGAUCCAAAGAAGGCUCAUGCACACACCACUGCCAGCUCCACCGUCGCCGCCACCCUCCGUCUACCACUCUCAUUCCCACUCACACUCUCCCACGCCAUCGUUGACCUACUUCACGACCCCUCUCCCCGCGUCCCCACCCCCAGCCUCGCUGCUGGCCACCCGGAGGAUGAGCAGGAGCGAGGGAGAUCUCCAACUUUUCCUACUUCAACACACCUUGCCGCGGCAAGCCCUCCUCAGAAUAUCUCAGGACGAUCUAGCUACUAGUAAAAGUACGAACAAUCUAUUAUUUGCAAGCGUCGGGCUCUUAAUGACAACACCAGGGUCAAGCGUGCCAGGUUCUAUGACAAAUUUAGCUCAGUGCCAUGCUGUCCUACCGGUCCCUGUACCUGCACCUCAGUUCAUAGUCCAUAACCUAGAGAACCUGUACAAAGACAAAGACUCUGAGACUCAGUCCCAAACAGAGUCAGACGAAAGAAGUCGAGGCAAUAUCUAUGAGCGACUUCCGCGCAAGGUGUCCAACAACUCAAUGACCAGCCUAACAUCAGGCAUCUACGAGGAGAUUGACGACAAGCCGGUCCCUCCUCCUCAGACUUGCCCUCAACCCCCACCUCUGCCACCUAGGAGUCCUUUGAUCAAAAAAAGCACAGCGGUGAAGAAAAACCACAAAAGAAGAAGAAUCGGACUAUGUUCCAAUGUCGUUGAAAAGUCAGCCAGCUCAAGAAUAUGUAGCCAUGGUAGGAAGGAAACACAAGUCAAAACUGAUUGUAUCUGA
RNAcentral lists this long non-coding RNA (1227 nucleotides) under Bemisia tabaci. Its description in RNAcentral is "lncRNA ENSSWEETPG002312". The record is from RNAcentral. Lineage: Eukaryota; Metazoa; Arthropoda; Insecta; Hemiptera; Aleyrodidae.